GCGGGUCUCCGGGACGGUCUGGGGUGGCUAGGGGGUGCGGCGCCCGGCGGGGAUCCGAAUAGGGGGCAGCCAGCGUACGGUGUGGGAACUCGGGCCGGCGCGGGAGCCUGCGGUCAAGGGGGCUCAGCACUUUGUAAACAAGGAGUGGGAAGCGUUAAAAAAACGCUCGUAGGGAAAACCAGGGAAGGGCGGACAUAGCGCCAGGGUGGCAGGAAUGGAGCCCGGGCAAAGACGGCCCUGCCGUGGGCCCUAGCGCUCCCUUCGUCGGCCCCUGGAGCUGCGGCCGGGCGUGGGUCAGUCGUUCACGGGCCCGGAAAUUCCACUGGGACACCCGAAAAAGUGCUGCACGCCGCCUGAGGGAGACGGAAAGGGACCCGGGGCACUGAGUCCAUUGCUGGGGUCGCCAGGCCUAAUCUCGGAUGAUACCACAAUGCCCACAGUAUGCUGAUCACCACCAACAGCAGAUGGAGGCGGAUAAAAAGAGCUUUCUCGCUAGUGUGUUGUUUUAAAAGAACCUGAUGGAGAGCUAUGAUCAUAUGUAACACUGCCUCUAGUUAGUUUUUAAAUAACACUUGUAGCAUAUGUCUGGCGCCUGUGCUCAGGAUUUCAACAGAUCAUUUUCAGGAUUUUGACAUUUAACUGGCUUCUUAUGAAGUAGCAGAGAGUUCCAAAAUGUAGAACUGAAAUAUAAGCUCCACACACAGGCAGAGAUUUGAGUCUGAUUUGUUUGUGUGUAUAUCCCAAGUGCCUAAAAGCACUUGGCAUACGGUAGAUGCACAAUAGAUUCCUGUUAAAUGUAUUUUUAGGUGAAAAUGUAGUCUGUACUUUGCAUAAACUUGUCCUACUUUCUUCCUAGUUCUUUAAUAAGUAACCUACUUUUCAUUAUAUAUUUUUAAAUGAAAAAACAAAAUUAUAUCUGGCAUCACUACUUUGGCUGGGCUAUAAAGAAACAGGAAUUUGGCAGUAUGUAUUAAAAUUACAAAUGCAUAUAUACUCGGAGCCUUGAAUUUCAUUUCCAGGGAUUUAUGCCACAGAUGUUUCCACACAUAAGAAAUAACAAGGUGUUUCUUAUUGUUGAGAAUAGCAAAAGAUUGGAAACAAGCUAAGUAUCUAUCAACAGGAUACUAGUUAAAUUAUGAUAGAGCCAUAUGUUUGAACAUUGUGCAGCUGUUAAUCAAAAAAACAGAAAGUUCUUUGUUUUAACAUUAAGAUCUCCAAGAUUUUUUUGUUAAGUGAAAAACACAGAAAUACGGUACAGAAUAUUGUAUUAAAUUGUAUAUGCAUUAAACUAGGACAAAGUAACAUGAGGUAUGAGAACACAGUAGAUGGAAAGCAUAAGAAAUAGACUUCAUUGUAUUCAUAUUUAAACUUUUUGAUAUUCAAAAUUUCAGAAUGUUUUAUCUAUUCAAAUAGUGAAAAUGUUUAAAAUUUUUCUGGCAUCUUUUUGUUGUUGUUGUUGUUAUUAAAACAUUCAGGCUUCUUCUGUUUUAUAAAAGUUUACCUGAGUAAAAUAAACAUAUCAAGGAGGCUGGGUGCAGUGGCUCAUGCCUAUAAUCCCAGCACUUUGGGAGGCUGAGGCGGGCAGAUUGCUUGAGCUCAGGAAUUCAAGACCAACCUGGGCAACAUGGCAAGACCCCAUCUCUAAUGAAAAUACAAAAAAAAAAAAAUAGCCAGGCAUGGUGGUGUGUGCCUGUGGUCUCAGCUACUCCAGAGGCUGAAGUAGGAGGAUCACUUCAACCCAGGAGGUGGAGGUUGCAGUUAGUCAAGAUUGUGACACUGCACUCCAGCCUGAGUAACAGAGUGAGACCAUGUCUCAAAUAAAUAAAUAAAUAAAUAAAUAAAUAAAAUCAGGUAAGCUAGUGCUCAUAGGCAAACUUUUGAAAACCUCAGAGUUUUUGUUCAGAUUGAAUGAUGUCUGUUUCUUACCGUAAUAAUUUAAAAUCCAGGUACAUUUAUUUUGAGGCUUAGUAUACAUUUUAUCAAAUGUAUAUAAAUUUUCAGAAGUACUCUAUUUUUCUUCAAGUUUAGUAGAGCCUUCCUUGAACAAGUUUUAACAAAUUGGAUCCUCCA
Molecule: long non-coding RNA, 2070 nt
Filed under: Homo sapiens (human)
Lineage: Eukaryota; Metazoa; Chordata; Mammalia; Primates; Hominidae
Description: non-protein coding lnc-ZEB1-12:5
Source: RNAcentral